GAUGAAGAACGCAGCGAAAUGCGAUAAGUAAUGUGAAUUGCAGAAUUCAGUGAAUCAUCGAAUCUUUGAACGCACAUUGCGCCCGCCAGUAUUCUGGCGGGCAUGCCUGUUCGAGCGUCAUUUCAACCAUCAAGCCCCAGGCUUGUGUUGGAGCCCUGCGGCUGCCGCAGCCUCCCAAAACCAGUGGCGGGCUCGCUAUCACACCGAGUGCAGUAGUUUACUCUUCGCUCAGGGCGUGUGGCGGGUGCUAGCCGUAAAACCCCCAACUUCUCAAGGUUGACCUCGGAUCAGGUAGGAAUACCCGCUGAACUUAAGCAUAUCAAUAACGGAGGA
Molecule: unclassified non-coding RNA, 333 nt
Filed under: soil metagenome
Description: partial contains 5.8S ribosomal RNA, internal transcribed spacer 2, and large subunit ribosomal RNA
Rfam family: 5.8S ribosomal RNA (bases 1-120)
Source: RNAcentral